Molecule: ribosomal RNA, 558 nt
Filed under: uncultured bacterium
Lineage: Bacteria
Description: bacterial SSU rRNA
Rfam family: Bacterial small subunit ribosomal RNA
Source: RNAcentral
ACGGGUGAGUAACACGUGAGUAACCUGCCCCAGACUCUGGGAUAACUUCGGGAAACCGGAGCUAAUACCGGAUAUGACACGGAGACGCAUGUCUACCGUGUGGAAAGUUUUUCGGUCUGGGAUGGGCUCGCGGCCUAUCAGCUUGUUGGUGAGGUAAUGGCUCACCAAGGCGACGACGGGUAGCCGGCCUGAGAGGGCGACCGGCCACACUGGGACUGAGACACGGCCCAGACUCCUACGGGAGGCAGCAGUGGGGAAUAUUGCACAAUGGGCGAAAGCCUGAUGCAGCGAUGCCGCGUGAGGGAUGACGGCCUUUGGGUUGUAAACCUCUUUCAGCAGGGAAGAAGCGCAAGUGACGGUACCUGCAGAAGAAGCACCGGCUAACUACGUGCCAGCAGCCGCGGUAAUACGUAGGGUGCGAGCGUUGUCCGGAAUUAUUGGGCGUAAAGAGCUUGUAGGCGGUCUGUCGCGUCUGCUGUGAAAAUCCGGGGCUCAACCCCGGACUUGCAGUGGGUACGGGCAGACUAGAGUGUGGUAGGGGAGACUGGAAUUCCUGGU